Molecule: ribosomal RNA, 301 nt
Filed under: uncultured bacterium
Lineage: Bacteria
Description: partial 16S ribosomal RNA
Rfam family: Bacterial small subunit ribosomal RNA
Source: RNAcentral
CAGCAGCCGCGGUAAUACGGAGGGUGCAAGCGUUAAUCGGAAUUACUGGGCGUAAAGCGUGCGUAGGCGGUUCGUUAAGUCUGUUGUGAAAGCCCUGGGCUCAACCUGGGAAUGGCAAUGGAUACUGGCGAGCUAGAGUGUGUCAGAGGAUGGUGGAACUCCCGGUGUAGCGGUGAAAUGCGUAGAGAUCGGGAGGAACAUCAGUGGCGAAGGCGGCCAUCUGGGACAACACUGACGCUGAGGCACGAAAGCGUGGGGAGCAAACGGGAUUAGAUACCCCGGUAGUCCCUGUCUCUUAUAC